CUGGCCCUGCUGGGCCCGGCUCUCUCUCCCUCCGCUGCCCUGACGCACGAGGGCGCCCGAAGCCCACUUGACCAGAUGCCCUGGGGCCUUCCAGAUCGCAGCCUGGCCCCUGCGGAGCCCCAGUGAGCCAAGAAUUCCACGAAGUGCUGGGUCCAUAAAUAUUUGUGGAAUGGGAGCACCUUGCCAUAAAGACAAAGAAAAGUUCAGGGCAGGUGGGAGAAAAAUGCCAGGAAGAAUAAAGACUACGGGAGAAGAAAUGGAAGGUGUGAACAAUUUUAAUUCCCGAUAAUCCCUCUCCACAGUAUGGAGUGACUGAGUGUGUCUUCCAGAUGAAAAAUCUCUCCAUCCUCAGAACUGAUACCGCUUGUCCACACGUUUUCCUGGACACGUGGACAUCCUUAGGACAGCUGUGUCCUGUAUUUCUGAAUUAAUAUACGUAAAACACUUCGAAAUGUGCCCAUAAAUAACGUGCGCCA
This is a long non-coding RNA of Eptesicus fuscus (big brown bat), 476 nucleotides long. RefSeq lists it as uncharacterized. The transcript has 3 exons. Lineage: Eukaryota; Metazoa; Chordata; Mammalia; Chiroptera; Vespertilionidae. The record is from RefSeq and is a predicted model, not a curated record.